GACGAACGCUGGCGGCGUGCCUAAUACAUGCAAGUAGAACGCACAGUUUAUACCGUAGCUUGCUACACCAUAGACUGUGAGUUGCGAACGGGUGAGUAACGCGUAGGUAACCUGCCUGGUAGCGGGGGAUAACUAUUGGAAACGAUAGCUAAUACCGCAUAAUAUUAAUUAUUGCAUGAUAAUUAAUUGAAAGGUGCAAUUGCACCACUACCAGAUGGACCUGCGUUGUAUUAGCUAGUAGGUGAGGUAACGGCUCACCUAGGCGACGAUAUAUAGCCGACCUGAGAGGGUGAUCGGCCACACUGGGACUGAGACACGGCCCAGACUCCUACGGGAGGCAGCAGUAGGGAAUCUUCGGCAAUGGACGAAAGUCUGACCGAGCAACGCCGCGGGAGUGAAGAAGGUUUUCGGAUCGGAAAGCUCUGUUGUAAGAGAAGAACGGGUGUGAGAGUGGAAAGUUCACACUGUGACGGUAUCUUAACAGAAAGGGACGGCUAACUACGUG
Molecule: ribosomal RNA, 505 nt
Filed under: uncultured bacterium
Lineage: Bacteria
Description: partial 16S ribosomal RNA
Rfam family: Bacterial small subunit ribosomal RNA
Source: RNAcentral